This 8244-nucleotide long non-coding RNA is filed under the name Sorghum bicolor (sorghum). RNAcentral describes it as "long non-coding RNA (SBIC_LNC015601)". The record is from RNAcentral. Lineage: Eukaryota; Viridiplantae; Streptophyta; Magnoliopsida; Poales; Poaceae.
CUCUCGAAGUAUGUAGUAUUUGUGGUAUGAGGCAUAGUGAUAUUGCCUUCUCUCUCAUCCUACUCUAAUAAGGUUUUGAUAUCUGGAGCUCAUAGGUGGGAGACAGCUAAUACAUACUUACAAGACAUUUAUUGCAUAGUCAAACCAUGGAUCCAGAGAAACAAGUCAAUAAGUCAACUCAAGAUGUGCAUGUGUGGCGAAUGAAUGGUGUAUGGUGAUGAUGGUGAAAACAAUGGUGAAAGUCUAAUUCUACUUGUGCUCUUUUGAGGGGAUACAUACCUUUCUUGCUCUUUGAAACUUUUGAGGAGAAUGAGAUGCUCUACAUUUUCUUUUUCUUUCCUCUCAGGUGGGUAUCUUGUACCCCUAAUUCUACUGUCGGACACUUGUCCAUUUUUACCUCUCGUCUCACUUUUUCUUUUCUUCGAGGUUCCGGGCACUUGACCCUUUUUAUUUUCUCGUAUUUUUUUCAGAGCACUCACCCUCGUGGAAUAAUGUAGCAAGUGGUAGUAUCCAAAAUAUCUCGAGCAUUUAUUUCACGGGGAAUAACAGGGGUAGGAUAAUGUUUUUGCCUAUUCUCUCGUAGAUAGGAGUAGAAUAAUUUUGGGUGAAUCUGGAGAUGGAAAUGAGUGGAUGUAUGUGGAUGCGUACUUCCAGAGUAGAAGCAGCAUGUAUGAGUGAACGUGCAAGUGAAUCUUGAUUUUAACCGCAUGACAAGCUGCUAAGGGUCUACACAGCUUGACCACACUCAAUGCUCAUAAGCAGUAAAAAGUAAAUAUAUGGUUCAUAGUCUAAUAAGCAUGUAUAUAUGGCUGUGGCAGGAUUUUAAACUCUCAUCAUACAAGAACUCAUCAUGCAACAUUUUAAAGAUUUUCAAAGAUAAAAUUCUCCAGAAUUCUAGCAUCUCUAGGAACAGAUAAACAACAGCUCAACCUUCCCAUAUCAUAUUCGUUAACGACUUAGACUUUAGAUAAAGUACUCUUCCCACAAGUUCUGGUUUAGAGCAAAUCUUAAUUCAUAACAGUCAUGCCUAAACUUGAGAGAGAAUUUAAUUUUAAGAACUAGUCAUGGCAGAGCAACUAUUCAUCAUUUCUAUGUGAGAGCUUAUCAUGAGGGUUCAUAGCAAACUUUAUUUAUUUAUUUAUUUAUUUAUUUAGCAAACUAAGCAAAGAUAUAUAUAUAAGCACAAAAAUCUUUAUUUGGGUUUUUAUGAUUAUGCAUCUUUUUAUUAUUUGAGUAAAGUAUAAACGCGAGUAGAAACACAUAGCUGGAUAAAUGGGGGUGCUCUCCCCCAAGCUGGAUUUUGACGUAAUUUCUUCUGAUAUAGCUAGCAGGUGGCGGAGGUGUAUUUGAAUGUCGGCAGCACCCUGACAGUGAUUAGGAUGUCCUCCGUCUGCUAGUCUUCUUUGAUCCUUGAAUUCUGUGGAGCUCAAAUAGACAACAAAGCUUUGUGGAACUGGUUAAGUGUUAGCAUAAAAUCUCUUAGCCGUUAUCAUGUUGAGCUUCCUCUAAUAAAUAUUACUCUCUUUGGUAGGAUCAUAAAUUUAUUUUUAUCUUUUCAUUUUUAUAGGACAGGAAUAUUUUUAUUUUUACGCCACCAUAGUGAAUGUACUUAUGGGUUUUAUGCCACGAGAAUACUCACAUAGGGCUUACUGUUUUUAACAUUUUUAAUUUAUUUUCAAGAUAGCAUGAUUAACUAACAAGCUAUUUAGGGAAAGUAAACAAUUUAAGGGAAAAGGAAUGCAGAAAGGAUAAAUAUGGAUAACUACCGAUUUUCCUUUCGUCGAGGGUUCAAUGUUUUAAGUCUUCUGAACAAGACUUCUCACCAUGUUCAUUCUUUUGUUGCAUCAUUUGAUUCAGGUGUGGACCUUGACGUCUGGACCUCUUGAUAUGGUGUCACCCAUGUUCUUCGUUUGCCCAGCAGUUCGAAGUGCGGCGUUGGCAGUAUCUUGCUCAGUGUGUUCGUGCUCGUAGAUCCAGGUCCUUCACUUGGUGGAAUCUGGGAGUUGUAAAACUCCACCAUGUUUUGCUCCAAGUGUACCUGCUCAUAGAGACAAGGCAGAGAUCAAGUGCAUGGGCCCUGUUGGUGGAAAACACCAACAGAACCAAAAGUGUAUUUAUUCUUCUCUAACCUUAAGCAUAGUGAGCAAGACAAAGUUGAUGGGUGAUAAGUUCAUGAGUUUAGCAUUUAAAACAAUUGUCAGAUCAGAUCGCUCAACCUUAUGGAAAGAUAAUCUAUCUAUGUAUAUGUCUUUUUCUUUAUAUCUUCCCAAAGAUUGAAUGUGCAACAUUUUAGCUCAUAUUAUUAGGAGUGUGGGAUCACAAAGGUGGAAGGACUAAACAUGUUGAAUCGAUUGGGUUGGUUAAUCUAGAGUUGUAAAUCAUACAUGUUUCUCUCUUUUAUUCAUGUGAACGCCAGAACCAAGGAGAAGCUUAUAGAAGUGAUAGUCAAGUACCUUAAGAUGUUACCUUACUUGAAGAGUGAUGGUACAGUAUCACCUUGUGCAAGAUUUCCUCUCUUAGCGGUUGUGCAUCGUGUUUGUGGCACCCUCCAUGAAUCAUCUCUUGUGAGCUAUGCCUUCCUUGUGUAAAUUGUUAAACUUCAUGUGUCUCUCUCUUUGUCUCCAAUGCGAGUUUAUCUCAGGACUUCCCAAGUUGAUGUUGAAAGUUUUUUUUUUCUGCAGGGGUUAGUCUGACAAAAUAUACCAAUGUCUACACAAGCAGUUUUUAGUUCAAUAACCAAACUAGACUCCAUGUCUAAUUAGAUUAAGAAAGGCUGUUUAACCUAAGCACUAUGCUUAAUUUAAAAACCAAUAGAAGUAUGUACAGUACUUCCAAACUAACACUUACUAGGAUAAAUAAAGGUAGCGUGACGGCUUUUAUAGAGAUCUACUCAAGUGGAGAUGAAGUAGUGUGAUUAGUAUUUGACAAAUUGAGCAUGUCUAAAGGUAGGGACAACCAACAUAGCAACAUGGCAAAGGAUGUUUCUAUGUAAAGUACUCCCCCAAGCUUGAAUUUUGCAAAAUUCAAGUUUGGAUUUAAUUCAAUGUUGUAUGAUGAUUGGUUGGACAUACCUUGUGCUUGUCAUUCAUCCAAUCUUCUUGUUCCAAUCCUGGAAAGGUUAGUGACAAGAAUACCCGAAGGAAUAUUUUUACAAUUAUCCUUAUAUGCUCAAUACACAAGGUAAUGUUGUAAUUAAUUAAAAGCUUGUUGGGUAUUUUAAACGCAAACAGAAAAAUCCGCAAGCGCACGGAUACCGAUGUAGCUUUCACCCGGGAGUAUUCCAGAGUAUCGAUUUUCCACAGAGAAUGUGAGUGUACUAAUUAAGAUCCAAGAUCGCCCAAGGAUAACUAUAUAAUUAUUUUUGGUGGGAAGAGAGAAAGUUUCCUGAGAGUUCUCUAGUUGAUCUAAGAAUCAAGAAUUACUUCAAGAUUAUCUAUAUAGGGACAUCAGAGCACUAACCACAGAAAGAGAUGAGAAGGGGGCUAGGAAGGUCUGACUACGGUCCUACAAACACCGAUCCGAACGUGGUGGAAUACGUCGACCGUUAGGGCUGUCACUACCCUAAGGCUACCACAACAAUCCGCAGGAUUGGGUGCAAUUCCAGGUAAUCGCAAGACUAAACACCACGUCUAAUCUAUUAAUUACUACUCUAGCGUUAUAAAGACUAGAGCACUUGAUGCAAGCGGGAAUCCAAUAAAUAACUUGAAUGUAAAUAAAAGUAAUUAAAGAACUUAGGAAUUAUGAAUUGAAGAACCUGGAGAACGAUGAAGAACGAACCAGAUGCUGCAAAAAUAUAAUGUUGAGGAAGAUCCGACAGAUCCGGCUCCUCCUCCGCUCUCCUCUUCUCUCUCCCUAUUUUCUAGAUUACAACUAGAACUAACUAGAACUAGAACUAGAGGAACUAGAACUAGAACUAGAUGAACUAGAACUAGAUCUAGAUGAACUAGAGGUAGAACUAGAAGAACUAGAGGGAUCCUCUCUACUUGGAUGAAGAAUUGAAACCCUAACUUUGAUUCUGUAGAAGAGGUAUGAUCUCCAGGGGCCAGGGGGGUCUGGUUUUAUAGUCCCUUCAAAUGAAUCUGGGCCGUCGGAUCAAACCGACAUUGAUCGUGUGGUUUUCCUUGAAGUAUUAGGUCGGUGGAGCAUGAUCCCCGAACUUCACCCUGAUUGGUCCAGGGGGGAGGGCGGGCGCCCUCAGGACUAGGCCGGGCGCCCUGUCCCUGAGGCCUCUCGGCUUCCGCUUUGUUCCCGUGGCUUCUGGAGUCUUCUAGAUAAUAGAAAAUUGCGCGGCACGUUAAUAUCUCUAUGUAAACCCGACGUGUGGGCCUUUCUUCCGUAUUUCCUGAUAACCCCCUGCAGAAAUAGACAAACACCAAAACUUGUGGAAUUCUGUCAGAUAAAACCCUAAGUCUAGGUGUUAGUUGCAUUUGGAUCCUUUUCUAUGAUUAGUUGAUGGUUAAAUGUGAGCAUUAAGGACCGUCAACAAGCUCCCCCAAGCUUAACCUUUGCUCGUCCCUGAGCAAAGAUGAACUCAAGAGUUUCUGCAGUGGUUCCAUGCCUUAAAGAUAUACAUGCAUUCACACAAGAUUUUAUCUCUAAGUUAGAGUAAACUGUUAAGACUUAAAACUUACUCAUUUACCUUUCACCAUGGGGCUUGCGACCAUCACCUGUGUCUUGAGCAGUUAAAAGAUAGAACGGUCUAGUCAAGCGCCAUGUCUCAUGUUCUUGAUCAACUAUAGCUCUGGAGUUUUUGCAGAUUUUCAAAUAAAACUCAGAGAUUCCUUAUAUGACUCUCUCUAGUCUCUCUUUUGUGGUAUUUCUGGAUCCUUACCAAGGCAGUAAAGGUGUAUGCCUUCUCUCAAAGUAUGUGGUAUUUGUAGUAUGAAGCAUAGUGGCAUUGCCUUCUCUCUCACCCUAAUCUAAUAAGGUUUUGAUAUCUGGAGCUCAUAGGUGGGAGACAGCUAAUACAUACUUACAAGACAUUUAUUGCAUAGUCAAACCAUGGAUCCAGAAGAACAAGUCAAUAAGUCAAAUCAAGAUGUGCAUGUGUGGCGAAUGAAUGGUGUAUGGUGAUGAUGGUGAUAACAAUGGUGAACGUCUAAUUCUACUUGUGCUCUUUUGAAGGGAUACAUACCUUUCUUGCUCUUUUGAAACUUUUUGAGGAGAAUGAGAUGCUCUAUGUUUUCUUUUUCUUUUCUCUCAGGUGGGUAUCUUGUACCCCUAAUUCUACUAUCGGACACUUGUCCAUUUUUACCUCUCGUCUCACUUUUUCUUUUCUUCGAGGUUCCGGGCACUUGCCCCUUUUUAUUUCCUCGUAUAUAUAUUUUUUUUCUUUUUUUUUCUUUUUUUAGAGCACUCAUCUCAUGAGAUAAUAUAGCAAGUGGUAGUAACAAGAUAACUUGAGCAUUUAUUUCACAGGGGAAAAACAGGAAUAUUUUUGGCUAUUCUCUCCCGGAUUAGGAGUAGAAUAUUUUUGGGUGGUUCUGGAGAUGGAAAUGGAUGGAUAUAUGUGGAUGCGUACUUCCGGAGUAGAAGCAGCAUGUAUGAGUGAACGUGCAAGUGAAUCUUGAUUUAACCACAUGACAAGCUCCUAAGGGUCUACAAAGCUUGACCACACUCAAUGCUCAUGAGCAGUAAAAAGUAAAUGUGUGGCUCAAAGUCUAGCAAGCAUGUAUAUAUGGCUGUGGUAGGAAUUUAAACUCUCAUCAUAUAGGAACUCAUCAUGCAACAAUUUAAAGAUUUUCAAAGAUAAAAUUCUCCAGAAUUCUAGCAUCUCUAGGAACAGAUAAACAGCAGCUCAACCUUCCCAUAUCGUAUCCGUUAACGACUUAGACUUUAGAUCAAGUACUCUCCCCACAAGUUCAGGUUUAGAGCAAAUCUUAAUUAAUAACAGUCAUGCUUAAACUUAAGAGAGGUUUCAAUUUUUAGAACUAAUCAUGGCAGAGCAACUAUUCAUCAUUUCCAUGUGAGAGCUUAUCAUGAGGGUUCAUAGCAAACUUUAUUUAUUUAUUUAGCAAACUAAGCAAAGAUAUAUAUAUAUAUAUAUAAGCACAAAAUCUUUAUUUGGGUUUUUAUGAUUAUGCAUCUUUUUAUUAUUUGAGUAAAGUAUAAAGAUGAGUAGAACACUUAGCUGGAUAAAUGGGGGUGCUCUCCCCCAAGCUGGAUUUUGACGAAUUUUCUUCUGAUGUAGCUAGCAGGUGGCGGAGGUGUAUUUGAAUGUCGGCAGCACUCUGACAGCGAUUAGGAUGUCCUCUGCUAGUCUUCUUUGAUCCUUGAAUUCUGUGGAGCUCAAAUAGACAACAAAGCUUUGUGGAACUGGUUAAGUGUUAGCAUAAAUAUCUAGCCUUUAUCAUGUUGAGCCUCCUCAAUAAAUGUUACACUCUUUUUAGUAGGAUCACAAUCUUAUUUUUAUAUUUUUAUUUUUAUAGGACAAGAAUAUAUUUAUUUUAUUUUUAUGCCACCACAGUGAAUGUACUUAUGGGUUUUAUGCCAUGAGCAUACUUACAUGGGGCUUACUUAACAUUUUUAUUUUCUUUUCAAGAUGAUAUGAACCUGAUUAACUAACCAAACUAUUUUAAAUAAUUGAAAGGAAAAAGAUAACUACCAAGUUUACCUUUUGGCAAGGCGUUCGGUGUUUUUACAUCCUCCGAACGGGACUCUCCGUUUUCUUAGUCGUCCUGGGAUUCGCUGGAUGGCGUAGUCGGUGGUUCCGGCGGUGCCUGCUCUUCGUGUAUAACUAUCUUCUCUCUCUACACCUGCCUCGGUGCUACGGUCUCCUCAGGACAGUUCUGUUCAAGUUGUAUGUCUUCAGACCUUACAACUUCUCCUUCGUAGUCUGCCCAUCCAUCCUUGAUGAUUUGCCUCCUCUGGUUGCGGUUGCGUCGUCUUCUUUUUGUCCUGACCUGCUUAGAGUCUUCAACUAUAUAGUUAGGGUCAGUAAAAUAGUGGCGUACCUUCUCUGAGGGGAAGUGCAUGUGGACUUCUGUGGUUCCAAUGUAUAUGAUUGCUUUAAUGGUGCCAAAGAACGGUCUUCCAAGGAUGAUGGGUGGAUCGUACUCGUCUUCUCCCAUGUCAAUAACCUUCAAUCUUUCAGAAUGUCUGAUCUGUCAUCUGGAGCUGAAUGUAUGUUGGUUGUAGGGACAUGGUUCCAUGCAGGAGCUGAUAAGUGACUGCGGCCAUUAUGUUGACGUUAGAUCCGGUGUCGUAGAGUGUCUUCUGAAAAGAAUAUCUGUUGAUUGUGCACUCGAUGCUUGGGACACCAGGGUCGUCCUUCUUGAUCAAGAAAGGUGACUUGAGUUGACGAUCUUGACCUCCUUGAGCUGCAGGGACCAUCUUAGCUGACUCGGUACACAUUUGCUUGUUCCUAUUCCUCCUGUUGGUCCUCUUCCUUGGUUCAUGUCGGGAUUGCUCUGAGAUUUGUAUAGUCUUGUUCUUGAAGGAAAACAUCUCCUUCCUUCCCUUGAUGUAGAAACUGAUCUUGGCAGCACUAGCGUAGAUGAUAGCUCCCGAGGUGUUCAGGAAUGGCCUCCCUAGAAUGAUGGGUGCCCUCUCAUCAGUACCAGUCUCUAUCACUAAGAAGUCUGCUGGGACGUACAAGGUACCAACUCGGACGUAGAGGUUCUUCAAUAUUCCCCUAGGCAUAAUGUUGACGCUCGAGCCAAAGUUGUAGAGUGCUUCUAGGAAGUCCACCAUGCCGAUGGAGAUCGGGAUGACGGGGCGUCCUGGAUUGUCUCUCUUGACCGGCAGAAGGUCAGUAAUUACUUCCACAACGGGGUUACUCCAGUAGUUACGUCCUCAAGCAUCUCAGGGCAGUGAUUGCCUGAGUAACCAGUAUCUCUAGUGUGUUUGUGCUCGUAGAUCUAGGUUCUUCACUUGGUGGAGUCUGGGAGUUAUAAAAGUCCUUCAUAUUUUGCUCGAAGUGUACCUGCUCAUAGAGACAAGGCAGAGAUCAAGUGCAUGGGCCCUGUUGGUGGAAAACACCAACAGAACCAAAAGUGUAUUUGUUCUUCUCUAACCUUAAGCAUAGUGAGCAAGACAAAGUUGAUGGAUAAUAAGAUCAUGAGUAUAACAUUUAAAACAUUUGUCAGAUUAGAUUGCUCAACCUUAUGGAAAGAUAAUCUAUAUAUAUAUAUAUGUUUUGUUUAUAUCUUCCAAAGAUUGAGUGUGCAACAUUUUAGCUAAUAUGAUUAGGAGUGUGGAAUCACAAAGGUGGAAGGACUAAACAUGUUGAAUCGAUUGGGUUGG